RNAcentral lists this ribosomal RNA (433 nucleotides) under uncultured bacterium. Its description in RNAcentral is "partial 16S ribosomal RNA". It matches the Rfam family "Bacterial small subunit ribosomal RNA", at positions 29 to 507 of the family's 1533-position model. The record is from RNAcentral.
AACGAACGCUGGCGGCAUGCCUAACACAUGCAAGUCGAACGAGACCUUCGGGUCUAGUGGCGCACGGGUGCGUAACGCGUGGGAACCUGCCCUUAGGUUCGGAAUAACUCCCCGAAAGGGGUGCUAAUACCGGUUAAUGUCUUCGGACCAAAGAUUUAUCGCCUUUGGAUGGGGCCGCGUUGGAUUAGCUGGUUGGUAGGGUAAAAGCCUACCAAGGCGACGAUCCAUAGCUGGUCUGAGAGGAUGAUCCGCCACACUGGGACUGAGACACGGCCCAGACUCCUACGGGAGGCAGCAGUGGGGAAUAUUGGGCAAUGGGCGAAAGCCUGAUCCAGCAAUGCCGCGUGAGUGAUGAAGGCCUUAGGGUUGUAAAGCUCUUUUACCCGGGAUGAUAAUGACAGUACCGGGAGAAUAAGCUCCGGCUAACUCCGUG